This 833-nucleotide ribosomal RNA is filed under the name uncultured bacterium. RNAcentral's name for it is "bacterial SSU rRNA". It matches the Rfam family "Bacterial small subunit ribosomal RNA", at positions 621 to 1459 of the family's 1533-position model. The record is from RNAcentral.
CUGCAACUGAAACUACUUUUCUNGAGUGUUGAAGGGGAAAGUGGAAUUCCUAGUGUAGCGGUGAAAUGCGUAGAGAUUAGGAGGAACACCAGUGGCGAAGGCGACUUUCUGGGCAACAACUGACGCUGAGNCACGAAAGUGUGGGGAGCAAACAGGAUUAGAUACCCUGGUAGUCCACACCGUAAACGAUGGAUACUAGGAGUUGGCAAAAAUAUUGUCGGUUCCGCAGUUAACGCAUUAAGUAUCCCACCUGGGGAGUACGACCGCAAGGUUAAAACUCAAAGGAAUUGACGGGGGCCCGCACAGCAGUGGAGUAUGUGGAUUAAUUCGAAGCAGCGCGAAGAACCUUACCAGGGCUUGACAUAUACAGGAAUAUAUAAGAGAUUAUAUAGCUCUACGGAGUCUGUAUACAGGUGGUGCAUGGUUGUCGUCAGCUCGUGUCGUGAGAUGUUGGGUUAAGUCCCGUAACGAGCGCAACCCCUAUGGCUAGUUGCUAACAUUAAGUUGAGGACUCUAGCAAGACUGCCGUUGUUAAAACGGAGGAAGGUGGGGACGUCGUCAAAUCAUCAUGCCCUUUAUGUCCUGGGCUACACACGUACUACAAUGGGUAAGACAGAGGGAAGCGAAAGUGCGAACUGGAGCAAAACCCUAAACUUAUUCUCAGUUCGGAUUGGAGUCUGAAAUUCGGCUCCAUGAAGCUGGAAUUGGUAGUAAUGGCAGGUCAGCAUACUACCGUGAAUACGUUCCCGGGCCUUGUACACACCGCCCGUCACACCAUGAGAGUUGGGAAUACCCGAAGCCUGUGAGCUAACUUUUUAAGAGGCAGCAGUCGA